This 557-nucleotide unclassified non-coding RNA is filed under the name Hevea brasiliensis (rubber tree). Lineage: Eukaryota; Viridiplantae; Streptophyta; Magnoliopsida; Malpighiales; Euphorbiaceae. The record is from RNAcentral.
GGGAAACACACACCUGCACACAGGUUCUCAGGCCUCAUCUGUUCCAGAGACGAGCACACAGAGUGUCGCCGCUGAGGGUUCUACGCCUCCUCUAGGUGCAGAUUCAAAAGCUUCAAACAAUGAUGGCUUUCAUCAAGAAGCUGGGUCAAAAUUUCAAUGCACUGGUUCUUCUUAUAAAGAUGGAAAGAUAACUAACAGUGAGAGUGCGACAAAGAAUAUUGGUGUAUCUACACCUGUUUUUGAUCUUGAUGCCCUUCCUGGGAAGCCAGCUAUUGCCGACCAUUGCUGCAGCUCUUUUGAUGGAAAGAAGAAGGAAAAACACAAUGAUGCAUUUCUUGAUGCCCUCCAAGAAAUGCAUAUAAGUAAUCUUCCGGCAUCGUUGAUCGAUAACUCACAUCAUUCAUCCGCCACUUAUAUGGAUGGUAGGUUUAUUAACGAGUGCCCUUUUAGUGGAGUACCUGUGGCUCCUCGAUCGUCUAUGCUUGGAACUGUAGGUAUAGAUCCAGUAAGUAGCAGUAGUGGUUACACUGAAUCUGUGGGAAGUAUGUUCCAUAAAG